AAUCUUUGAUCGCCUCUACUUCCUCUAGAUCCGUCCCCAACUCCCACCUCAAUCGGAUAAAUUGUAUCGCAGAUAACAAAGAAUACGCGUACCCUACAUAAACAGGUCCGAUAAAGUAAUGGGAAGAAAAUAAAUAGAAAAAUUAUUUAUUAUACUUGGACAAUAUAGGAAAAAAGUACAUAUUUAUAUAUAUAUAAAAGGAAUGUAAGAUAAAUAAAAAUAUUCACUUCUUCA
Long non-coding RNA from Coccinella septempunctata (seven-spotted ladybird), 234 nucleotides. RefSeq lists it as uncharacterized. The transcript is spliced from 2 exons. NCBI's taxonomy places the organism in Eukaryota, Metazoa, Arthropoda, Insecta, Coleoptera, Coccinellidae. The record is from RefSeq and is a predicted model, not a curated record.